GGGGCUGAUUCUGGAUUCGACGGGAUAAGCAAAGCCCAAGGUGCAUGCCGAGGGGCGGUUGCCUCGUAAAAAACCGUGAAAAAAUAGUUGCAAAAAUUAAUAAAAACAGACCCGCUGCUAACGGCUACAUGCCUGUAGCUGCUUUAGCCGCUUAAUCAGCUUAAAAAACUGAGGGUCUCCUUUCUCCCUAGCCUCCGCUCUUAGGACGGGGAUCCAGAAAGGUCAAAUAAAAAGAGAUCGCGUUAAGACCUUGCUUAGGGUUAAAUCGUUAAAUUCAAUUAAGCUCAUCUGUUAAUAGAGUGUCCCUCCUCUGCUUUCAGAUAAAAUUAAGGAUGGACUAAGCAUGUAGUGCCGACGGUGUAGUUAUUUCGGACGGGGGUUCAAAUCCCCCCAGCUCCACCA
Molecule: non-coding RNA, 402 nt
Organism: Candidatus Hamiltonella defensa 5AT (Acyrthosiphon pisum)
Lineage: Bacteria; Pseudomonadati; Pseudomonadota; Gammaproteobacteria; Enterobacterales; Enterobacteriaceae
Source: Rfam